GAGGGUAUAGCUCAACCGGUAGAGUGCAGGCUUAAUAUGCAUGAGGUCCUGGGUUCAAUCUCCAGUACAUCCA
This 73-nucleotide transfer RNA is filed under the name Camelus bactrianus (Bactrian camel). It matches the Rfam family "tRNA". From Rfam's summary of the family: Transfer RNA (tRNA) molecules are approximately 80 nucleotides in length. Their secondary structure includes four short double-helical elements and three loops (D, anti-codon, and T loops). Further hydrogen bonds mediate the characteristic L-shaped molecular structure. tRNAs have two regions of fundamental functional importance: the anti-codon, which is responsible for specific mRNA codon recognition, and the 3' end, to which the tRNAs corresponding amino acid is attached (by aminoacyl-tRNA synthetases). tRNAs cope with the degeneracy of the genetic code in two manners: having more than one tRNA (with a specific anti-codon) for a particular amino acid; and 'wobble' base-pairing, i.e. permitting non-standard base-pairing at the 3rd anti-codon position. Lineage: Eukaryota; Metazoa; Chordata; Mammalia; Artiodactyla; Camelidae. The record is from Rfam by way of RNAcentral. RNAcentral also lists the same sequence under 2 other names.